Molecule: long non-coding RNA, 1582 nt
Organism: Aquila chrysaetos chrysaetos
Lineage: Eukaryota; Metazoa; Chordata; Aves; Accipitriformes; Accipitridae
Exons: 3
Source: RefSeq, a predicted model, not a curated record
UUCCUAGCCUCCCCAUUCCAUGCCUAGAUCAGCGUGCCUGAGGAGACAGGCAGAUUAUCGCAGUGCUCCUGCUGUGGGUCGCGUGGCAGCAGCACACCACCGCAUCCUUCUCAAGAAGGGGUGCCUCCCUUUGCCCCUUCUCCUUCUCGGUUCUGAAACUGAACUAGCAGGUACGGAGGGGGAUUGUGUGUAUGUCAGCUUAGUAGCGAGGGAGAGUAUAACAGGGAGGUCAUACAACAGGUCCUCCCAGGGAAUGGCAAAAACAAAGCUCAAGAACCCAACAGCAAAUACUAAAGAGAAUGAGGAAUAUGAAUGAACGCUGGUCAAGAGGCGUAACAGAAAAAGGCAUGAGAAGAACUGGCUUGUGCAGAGCCGGGUGUGGACUUCAGAGCUCCUCAGCGGCACCGACAUCCAUGCUUUGUAUUCUUGCUUCCUCCAUCUCCAGGAGGUCUAACGUCCAGAUAGCUGGCCAACAGUGUCCUAUAUAGCAAGUGCUACCCCCAACCCAGCUCCCAUGCCAGCGUCUCGACUCUGAUGCUGCUGGAUGUGACACCCUAUAGCAGAGCCAGAUAUUUGGUGGUCUUCCCCUGGCAUUUACACCUUCUUUCUUGAAGACAGGGAAUGAAACUGAAAAUGUCAGCAUAUGGUUAGCAUUUCAUACACGCUCGCUGCAGCACAGCAAAUAUGUUCGGCUGUGUUACGAAGAAUGACCAGGAAAUAGCUUAGGCUGAAUAACCAGUUUCGGAGUGCUGUUGCUCAAAGAUGUUAACAACAAUAAUAUAGCAGAACGUCUACAAAAUGAUCCUGUACUAAAUACCAUCAAAGCAGGCAGGAAUGGAUUAGGCCUGCUCUGAAUUCUGUUGUCAGGUUAUUUUCAGAGAAAAAUGCUUUUCUUGUUCAAAUCAGCACUGCUGGAAAAACUUUUUUUUUUUUUUUUUUGACAGAUUGCCACUGAGUGUUGAAAUAAUGAUUUCAGUUUUUCUGGUACUUGUUUGUAUCUUCAAAAUAUUAUUAGGCAAUAGCUAAUAAUUCCCUUAUAAAUCACAUAAUGCAUAACAUAAGGUGCACACAUAAUGGUGUUACAACUGGUCUAGAUAAAAGCCUUUGUGAAUCUGGCAAUGCUACAAUAAUCAACACAGUACUGGCUUUUUUCACCUAAAUCUGUCCCUCCUGGGUUGUAAUGAAAGGUUAUCACUUGCACAUAAAUAAAUGUGUACAACUGCUAUUGAUGUGUCAUGAAAUAAUAGAAAAUUGAAGUUGGCAAUAAAAAUUUCUUAAAAUUGUCAUAUGGUACGCUGUGGAAACAUUUUUAUUUUUUUUUAUUUCUCCUCAGUUUCCAUGCUCAGAAACCAGCUUGUUUAAAGCUUCCUCUGUGGAUGAAAUUGUGUAUUUCAACUAGUUCUGAAAUAACUGUUUUACUUAAGUUGGCAUAUAGAAUAUCUUGUCUAUGCAUUGGGAAUUAAAGAAGGAUAUCAAAGGACAUACCAAGAGCAAUAUUCCAUCCUGAAUUUAAGAAGAAAAAAGGGCAAACCAAUUGCUGCAGAAAUCUGAACUUGUAAAUGCAGGCUUUCAACUCCUAACC